UACGUAGGGGCCUAGCGUUGUCCGGAAUUAUUGGGCGUAAAGAGCUCGUAGGCGGUUCAGUAAGUCAGGUGUGAAAUCUUUGGGCUUAACCCAAAGCGUGCAUUUGAUGCUGCUGUGACUUGAGUUCGGUAGGGGAGUGGGGAAUUCCUAGUGUAGCGGUGAAAUGCGCAGAUUAUUAGGAGGAACACCGGUGGCGAAGGCGCCACUCUGGGCCGAAACUGACGCUGAGGAGCGAAAGCGUGGGUAGCAAACAGG
Molecule: ribosomal RNA, 255 nt
Filed under: uncultured bacterium
Lineage: Bacteria
Description: partial 16S ribosomal RNA
Rfam family: Bacterial small subunit ribosomal RNA
Source: RNAcentral